This 890-nucleotide ribosomal RNA is filed under the name methanogenic prokaryote enrichment culture B31_2_65. Its description in RNAcentral is "bacterial SSU rRNA". It matches the Rfam family "Bacterial small subunit ribosomal RNA", at positions 8 to 916 of the family's 1533-position model. The record is from RNAcentral.
AGAGUUUGAUCAUGGCUCAGGAUGAACGCUGGCGGCGUGCUUAAUACAUGCAAGUCGAACGGAGAUAGUAGCAAUAUUAUCUUAGUGGCGAACGGGUGAGUAACGCGUUGGUGACCUGCCCCGAAGAGAGGGAUAGCAGUUCGAAAGGACUGAUAAUACCUCAUGUGGUUGAAGGUUUUAGAAUCCUUCAACUAAACGGAUUUAUUCGCUUCGGGAGGGGCCUGCGUCCCAUCAGCUAGUUGGUAGGGUAAUGGCCUACCAAGGCGAUGACGGGUAGGGGACCUGAGAGGGUGGCCCCCCACAAUGGAACUGAAACACGGUCCAUACACCUACGGGUGGCAGCAGUAGGGAAUAUUGGUAAUCUGCGAAAGCGGGAACCAGCAACGCCGCGUGCACGAUGAAGGCCUUCGGGUCGUAAAGUGCUUUUAGAGAGGAUGAGGAAGGACAGUACUUUCUGAAUAAGCCUCGGCUAACUACGUGCCAGCAGCCGCGGUAAAACGUAGGAGGCUAGCGUUAUCCGGAUUUACUGGGCGUAAAGCGCGUGCAGGUGGUCUUGUAAGUUGGAUGUGAAAGCUCCCGGCUUAACUGGGAGAGGUCGUUCAAAACUGCAAGACUUGAGAUUGGUAGAGGGAGGUGGAAUUCCGGGUGUAGUGGUGAAAUGCGUAGAUAUCCGGAGGAACACCAGUGGCGAAAGCGGCCUCCUGGACCAAUUCUGACACUCAGACGCGAAAGCUAAGGUAGCAAACGGGAUUAGAGACCCCGGUAGUCUUAGCUGUAAACGAUGUGAACUUGGCGUCGGUGGGUUUAAAUCCAUCGGUGCCGAAGCUAACGCGAUAAGUUCACCGCCUGGGGACUACGGCCGCAAGGUUAAAACUCAAAGGAAUUGACGG